UCCGUCUGUGUGUGUGUGUCUGUCUGUCUGUCUCGUGACGGGACCGUCUCCCUCAGACAGACUCGGGGUCAAAGUGCUAGUGCAUGAGGAGAAGAGUUGUCAACACGCUGACUAAAUGGGUUUUGGCAAAAACAAAAAUCACAUCCCAUAAAUCCAUCGUCACGUUAACAAAAAAACACA
Long non-coding RNA from Sander lucioperca (pikeperch), 180 nucleotides. RefSeq lists it as uncharacterized. NCBI's taxonomy places the organism in Eukaryota, Metazoa, Chordata, Actinopteri, Perciformes, Percidae. The transcript is spliced from 2 exons. The record is from RefSeq and is a predicted model, not a curated record.